AGUACGGAAUAAUUGUUGGAAACGGCAGCUAAUACCGUAUACGCCCUACGGGGGAAAAAUUUAUUGCUAUUAGAUGAGCCUAUAUUAGAUUAGCUAGUUGGUGGAGUAAUAGCCUACCAAGGCAAUGAUCUAUAGCUGAUCUGAGAGGAUGAUCAGCCACACUGGAACUGAGAUACGGUCCAGACUCCUACGGGAGGCAGCAGUGGGGAAUAUUGGACAAUGGGCGAAAGCCUGAUCCAGCCAUGCCGCAUGAGUGAAGAAGGCCUUUGGGUUGUAAAGCUCUUUUAGUGAGGAAGAUAAUGACGGUACUCACAGAAGAAGUCCUGGCUAACUCCGUGCCAGCAGCCGCGGUAAUACGGAGAGGGCUAGCGUUAUUCGGAAUUAUUGGGCGUAAAGGGCGCGUAGGCUGGUUAAUAAGUUAAAAGUGAAAUCCCGAGGCUUAACCUUGGAAUUGCUUUUAAAACUAUUAAUCUAGAGAUUGAAAGAGGAUAGAGGAAUUCCUGAUGUAGAGGUAAAAUUCGUAAAUAUUAGGAGGAACACCAGUGGCGAAGGCGUCUAUCUGGUUCAAAUCUGACGCUGAAGCGCGAAGGCGUGGGGAGCAAACAGGAUUAGAUACCCUGGUAGUCCACGCUGUAAACGAUGAAUGUUAAAUAUGGGAAGUUUACUUUCUGUAUUACAGCUAACGCGUUAAACAUUCCGCCUGGGGACUACGGUCGCAAGAUUAAAACUCAAAGGAAUUGACGGGGACCCGCACAAGCGGUGGAGC
This 766-nucleotide ribosomal RNA is filed under the name Wolbachia endosymbiont of Eupteryx melissae. Its description in RNAcentral is "bacterial SSU rRNA". It matches the Rfam family "Bacterial small subunit ribosomal RNA", at positions 135 to 938 of the family's 1533-position model. The record is from RNAcentral. Lineage: Bacteria; Pseudomonadati; Pseudomonadota; Alphaproteobacteria; Rickettsiales; Anaplasmataceae.